GUUUGCUUCAUGUCUGUUGUGGUUCAAUGACGACAUUUUGAAAGCUUAAAAACUCCAGCUCUAAGUAUUUUUUGAGCAAGAAUUUUAGUCAAAUAUUCUAUUUUCAUAAUUUUUUUUAUUCUCAGAUACGGCACAAAAGCAGUUGCACCCUGCUGUGAUGUUAUGUUCUAGCAAUUUUAAUAUUUAGAACAAAUAAUUUGGAACAUUCUUGCAGGCAUAUUGAUUCUCUCUUGUCUAAUAUUGGUGUGUUUCACUAAUCACUAUCGUGCAGCAGAUUGUGGGCAACCUGAAGUGAUAUCAGAGUGAGAAAAUCAUGUCAAAUCUUAUUUCUGUUUAAUCAAUGUUAUUCGAGAGUCAGGACGGAUUAUUAUUAAUUGGCCGAUUUGCUCGUUGAAUUAGGAUUGUGAUAUAAAUCCAGUUAUAAAUAAAAGUACAGUUACCCCGGCCCUAGAUCUGGGAUUUCCUCUUUCUUGUAAAACUCCCCUGACACCAGAAAACCUCUGUAGAUCCGGGAUAGAGUGCAAUUUGAUGUUUUGUUCAAAAUAUUUUUACAACUCCAAGGUAUAUGUUUUACAUAUACACCCUGCUAGUUCCAAGGUAUAAGACGAUAAAUAUACGGUAUAUAGAUAAAUAUACGAUAAAUAUACGACAAAUAUACGAUAAAUACAGGGCGUAUAAACAAAACUGAACAGAUAUGAAUUUGCUCUCAAUUUCGCAAAACAGCUAUUAGUAUCCAGUUUUUGUUAUAUAUAGCUUCUUUGGGUACUUAUAAUGUAGAAUAAUGAAAAAAAUUUCUCGAACUCAAAUUUCUCGAACUCACACCAGGAGGUGUGUCUUUUCCAACAAACUGAAAAUGGCUUGCGCACGAAAUUUAAAAGCUUUAAUCAUAUUUUGAGUUAAUAGAUGGAACAUUUGUUGGGUUUUUAAUUACUGUACAAAAUUUCAGACAAUUUGCUUUAGUUUAAGCCCUUAAACUAUUCACGCAAACUUACAUUUUAUCCUAAAUAUCAGCGAUUUGCAUGCUUAAUUAAUGCCUUUGCCUAAUUUGCAUAUGUCAGCAAUAUGCAAAUUACGUAAAGGCAUUAAUUAAGCAUGCGAAAUGCUGAUUUUUUAGGAAAAAUGAAUAGCUAAAGGGGCUUAAACUAAAGCAAAUUGU
Paramuricea clavata is the source of this 1156-nucleotide non-coding RNA. NCBI's taxonomy places the organism in Eukaryota, Metazoa, Cnidaria, Anthozoa, Malacalcyonacea, Plexauridae. The record is from the annotation of a GenBank genome assembly.